AUGAUGCACGACUGGGAGUUUUCAUUUUCUUGCUUGUGACAGUCCUACAGACAGUAGUUGGUAAGUUGAAAUUUUAAAGAUGUUAUGUAAAUAUUAUCUGUAUGUAGAUAUCCGAAAGGUUUGUUAGUUUUACUUCCUUUUUAAAAUUAAAUACUUUUGAAAAUUUGUGCCUUUGCACUCAAUGAUCAUAUAAUUAUAAAAUCAAAAUUAUUCUUAAAAUAAAGGUCAAAUUAGAAUAGAGGAUGUAUAAAAUUUAAACAUCGGUUAUGUACUAUUGCAUAGAUCGAUAUUUGCUGAGUUCUAAUUAUUAUUUGUUUUUAUUCUUUACUUUGAUUGUUUUAUAGUUUUAUUUUUGUUGGAAAAAGGGGUAAGUGUUGGGGUCGUUGUUCCAAGUAAAAAAAUAUUGGUUUACAGACUAGCAGAAUAUGUUUCAUACAUAUCAAGUUUAAAAAAAAUAAUACAUAAUUUACGCAGGGUUUUUAGAGAAAUAUGAUAAACAUUAAAGUCCAGCUCUCAGCUUACAGAGGAUAUAAUGUUAUGUGCAAAACAAAGUGUAUCAUGUUGCUAUUACAAACAAAACUGUAACUUUCUAUUCAUAUUUUUCUUUUCCUACUGACUGUAUAUUUUUGUCAAAAUAUAUUAAAAUUGUUCACAAUUAUCAUUUUAUUUUCGGAAAUCAAUUUUCUUUUAUCUUUUACACAUCAACACACACUACUUAAAACUUUCUAAGGGCUUACAUGGAAUAAUAUAUGUGUUGUUUAUCAAUGUGUCGGAUUUUUUUCAAAACAAAAUGGCAUAUAGACAAAGCAAACAAUCAUAUAUGAUUCCAUACAUGCGCAUUGCUUUCGUUUUUAUAUUUAUUAAAUGCUUUUUGCGAGUUUAAGGUUCAUUAUAACAAAUGGACAAAAAUUGCUGUGUUUAGAGUACAAAAAACUACUCCGAGUACGGACUACAUUCAUCUUUCUUUGAUGGUACAUGCAUACUCUAUUUAUAAAAAAUAUACCGAACAUUUUAUCCCAUUUACCAUGUUUACGGAUUAGUAUUAAAAGUAGUGCAUUUCACUGAAGAAAACAAAUAACAAUAACUUCUACUUUUUUCCGCCCUACAGACUUGACGAAGUCUAAUGGCAAUUGGUCACGAAGUCUUGUGGCAAGUGGUCACUUUGUCUAAUGGCAAAUGGUCAGUGGAUCUAAUGGCAAAUGGUCACAAAUUCUAAUUGCAAAUGACCAGUGAAUCUAAGUAGACAUGGUAACCAUUUGCCAUUAGAUUCACCUUAGAUUCACUGCAUUAGACAUAGUGACCAUUUGCCAUUAGAUUCACUGGCAAUUCGCCAUUAGACAUGGUGACCAUUUGCCAUCAGAUUCACGGGCCAUUUGCCAUUGGACAUUUAGUGACCAUUUGCCAUUAGACAUGUAGUGACCAUUCGCCAUUAGAUUCACUGGCCAAAAAAGCAAAAGUGUCGGACAAAAAGCAAAAUAAUCGGACAAAAAGCAAAGCGGAGAAAAAGCAACGGACAAAAAGCAAAAGUGUCGGACAAAAAGCAAAUUAAUCGGACUAAAAGCAAAACGGACAAAAAGCAACGGACAAAAAGCAAAAGUUUCGGACAAAAAGCAAAAGUUUCGGACAAAAAGCAAAAACGGACGAAAAGCGAAUUGCGGACAAAAAGCAUCGUAUCACGCGUCUGGCGUUACCUUAGAUAACUAUUUACACAAAAAUGUAUACACCACUCUCAAAAUUUGCACAUUUCAUCAAAGAUCUAGACCAAAAUUAUCUGCUUCUUCGAAAUCCAAGAUGGCGGAAGACACCCGAGCCACCUUAAACGAGUCUAUUACUUAAAAAAAGUAACUGUAUGUUGGCGUUAAGCUAAAUUUUCUUGGUGUCGAAUCAACAUUUAGUUUUUUAAUUAUUCUUGUAUUGUAAAAAUAAUUGCGAAUAACAUAAUCACAGAUAACAUGAUUAAAACUUUGUAGUUGCACCAGAUGCGCGUUUUGUCUGCAAAAGACUCAUAUGUGAUGCUCGAAUAAAAAAGUUAAAAAAAAGCCCGCAAAAAAUACGACGAUACCAUUCUAUUUGCACAAAUACGUCUUUAUGAAGAUUCUACAAUGUCAGUAUAUUGUGUGGACCCCUAAAAUGUUAACAGCCAUUCAGUAAAAUAAUUUGUAACGUUGUGUUCAUUUUCAAUAUGAUAAAUAUCAACAAAAACAUUUUAAGCAAGAUUAUUUCAUAAGGGAUAAGCUUUGAAAUCUAGCUCUAACAUAAAACUUGACUUCUUAAUUUGUUCUGUUUUUUUCAUGGUUGAUGAUCCAUGGAUGAAUACACAGUAUUUAGUAUUCAUAAUUGUAUAAUCAAUUAUACUAGGCAUUUCCAUAUUUGUUUUGGUUAGUGCAAAUCAGUAAGAUCACAGGCCAUCUUUGACACACUUUAAGUUAUAUUGUCAUUUAUUGUCUUCACUCAAAAUAAAGUAUAGAAAACUCACGGUUAAUUAUCAGCGGAUUACACUUGGGAAUUAAAUUGAAAAAAUACAAUAUCGUUUCAAGUUAUAAAUAACUUGAAAUUAUUGUUUUUACCGAUAUUUUUUCUAAGUUUUUAUUCUUCCUUAGGUAGAGCAUAUUUCCCUUGAGAAAAAUAAUAAUGAUUCAUCAUGCAUACAUAUUGGAAGAUAAUCUAUAUCAAAAUAGAAACUAAUGAAACUUUGUAAAGUAAAGGAAGUUUCAUGGAAAACAAUUGUUAGGUACAAAAUUGACACCCACUAUCCCUCCCACUUUUCUAUAAAACGUAAUUUGCAGGAAUUUAUAUUAUUCGUUAAAUUAAAUUUAUUCUUAUUUACACAAUGAUUGAUAUGUACAGCACAUUUACUAAUCUAAAUCAACUUCAAGCAAUGUGUAUAUGCUAGUUUGCAGUAUUUGAGAUUGUCCGUAAAAAGUAAUCUAUAAAAAAGACUAUUUAAAAAAUUCCAGACAUACAAAAUAACCUUUAAAACGUACAUGCACGGGCACAAUCAGUGUUGCCAUUUUGUGUAUCGAAAAUACACUUUGUUCCAGCUGCGCAUUUGCCAGCCAAGGACUGUAAAAGACAAUAUUAAAGUCAAAGUAAAGGAAAUAAUAUACAUGUUACUUAUAUCUCUUAAACAUUAAUAUUGUAUUUUCAUAACAAGUUUUUUUUUUUUUUUUCAAUUAUUUUUGUAACUUUUUGUGGCUUAAUUCAAUCCUUUGACGUUUCACUCACAGAGAUAAAAAAAAAAAGUAGUUUAUAGUAUGCUGUUCACCUGAACAAUUAAGAUAAAGUGAAAGAUUAGUUUAUUUUAUAGAUAGGCAUCAAAAUGAUUAAAUGAAUCUAUCUAUCAGACUUGAAGUUGUGAGCCAUUUAUGGGCAUUCUUAAUGUGUAAUUUACAUGUUAUCAAUAUCAGAUUAUGCAUCUCAGCAUUCGAGCAUCAGAGAAAUCGACCUUUUAGAAAAAACACCCGAGUGCAAUAACUUCAGGGUAACUGGGACACAUUUCACGGAACAAAUCUUAAAUAAUCCUAUGUUCAGCUAACCUCAUUGGUUGAUAUCUUUGGCGGAAGUACAUGUGAUACAUCCUCAUUCUUUCAAUAUCCAAGCUGUGGGAAGGUCGUGCUCCACGUGUUGUCGGCAAAGUAACUAUAUUCUUUAACUUUUACUUACAUUUGCCUUGGUGGCUUUAAGACCUUGGUGGUCAUUUAUAUAUGCCUUGGUGGCAAAAGACCUAGGUGGUCAUUUAUAUAUGCCUUGGUGGCAAUAGACCUAGGUGGUCAUUUUUAUAUGCCUUGGUGGCAAUAGACCUAGGUGGUCAUUUUUAUGAUUUUUUACAUUUGCCUUGAUGGGAACAAUGAAUUAAAAAUACUAGCCUUGGGGGCGUCAAGACCUUGGUGGUCAUUUAUAUUUGCCUUGGCGGCUUCUUGAUAGAACUAGAUGGUAAUGUUUGACCUUGGUGGCAAAAAUGUUUUGGGAUUUAGACCUUAAUAGGUAGUUAUUAUCAACCCAGGUGGUCAGAUAUUUGUUAUGCCGUGCGCCGGUUAAACGCAGGGCAAAGUGCUAUCGCUAUAUAAAAUAUAUGUGGAAGUGGGGGCUCUGGCCAUUUUGGAAAUUGUAGUUGAAAGGAGAAUAAUAAAUUGUUUAUAGGGUAAAUAGUUUCUUUUGUUACUUUUGACUGUGUUGUGGACUUUUCAUUUAUUUUUACAUCGUACAUACUGAUAGAAAUGCUAUUUAAAGACUUUGUUAGAAAAGAAUAGAAUUAUUGAGAAAGUGGAAUAAUUUAGUGUGACAUGUCACUUGAUAUUCAUGUUUUUUAUCGGAGUGAUGUGUAUUGAAUUAUAAGGUGUCUUCGUCGAGGUCCGCGUUCAGCGGUCUGUUUGAUUGUACAUAGAAUUGAAUAGAAUGUUUUUUGUUUUCAGAUGGUGUUACCUACAGCUUUGACAGGGUGACGAAUGAAGGAGAAGUAAUAUGACAUUGCACGAUGAUUCAUGUCAAUGAGUUCGAACAACCUUUUUAAAAGGAAAGGAUUUUUUCUAAUCAGAAUAUGGUGAGAACAAAUUACAAUUGAAGUAAUGUUUUGAUUUCUGAAAAUAGGAAAAUAAUGAAUGGGGAAAAUAUUGAUACUACACUAAAUUAUGUAUGUCUGUGUUGAGAAAGGCAGAAGAUGCCAAUAUGGCACGGUACUAAAAAAAAAAAAAAAAAAAAAAAAUCUGUGAUGGAAGCAGCUUUAUGUUCAAAUGAACCUAUUUAAAAGUAAUGCUAAUAAUUUUUUCCGUAAUUUCAUGAUGUUUUCUAUUGGAUGUGUAUAUUUAAUUUCAUUGAUGUGUUGAAAUAUGUCACAAAAAUCUUUUUGUCAUGGGAGAUUAAAUAAUGGUUGCAAUAUUUUUGUUUUGUUUUGUUUUAUCUAAAUUAAUAAAUAAAUAUAAUGUUGAAUGAUUUUGUAUACUAGUACAAAUGUAUACUUAAAUUUUAUGUAUGGUUAAAUUUUUUUAAUUUAAAUUUCUUUGUCUACAGUUCGAGGGACACUGAUUCCCUAGUGGUUUUCCACGUGGAUUGUAGGCAAAGGGAUUUUUCCUUUUCAAAGUGUGACUAAUGCUGUCUUUAGUACAAAUAAACAAUUUGUUAUUGGUUAAUAUAUUUUCAGCAGACAUGUGAAGAAUCGAGUGGAAAUACAAUUGUCAAUGUUCCUGAUUAUGAAGUAAAGAGUGUGUUUGAUUCAACAACAGUAAAGAAAGAGACAAGCCAGCAUAGUUUUACACUUGGAGGUUAAGUCCCUUUGCUUACAAGCUUUCCACAUGCUGAAGAUGUUAUUAGAAUAAUGACAAUGUUCAUUUUGAUAUGAGUUCAUUGCCUUAACUCAACUUUUAAAAGUCCGUAUGUGGUCAAAUUCAUGAGAAUUUAUUGAAUUAUGAACGAUUUAUAAAGAACUGUUUACAUGCAUCUUUAAAUGUUUAGAAGUGUUUUAAAGUAAUUUUAAAAGGAAUAAUAUUUAAUAAAAGUGUUGAAUUUGUUUUGAGUAUUGGGAAUACUAUUCCUUAAGGGAAAGCCUUGCUAGUGGUGUAUUUUGAGAUUGGCCUGCAAAUAUGCUGUAUGGACUAUAGAGUUUUCUAUGCCCAUAACUUAACAUGAACUGGAUGCAAGAUUAUAUCAAUCACUGAGGAUAUGUGUAUAACCUCAUUGGUUGAUAUCUUUGGCGGAAGUACAUGUGAUACAUCCUCAUUCUUUCAAUAUCCAAGUGGUGGUUGGUUUAAGGGCUAUGUUUGGUCAGGCAAUACAUAUUGCCUGUUUGGGUUGAUGAGGUUCUUGAUAAGUUCCCCCCUCUCCCACCCAUAAGUACCAAAAUGUGGAUAUGUUUUUAUAUUUAUAUUUCAAUAUUGGUAUUACAUGUAUGCAUUUUGGGUUGAUGAGCACGAGACAACAUUAGAAAAACAUGAGCAUUACCAUGGGAUCAUGUUGACAAAACAAACCUUCGCUUUAUCGAUUUUCAAGGGAAAGGUCAAUUAGGGCAAGUGUAUUGGCAUGUUUGUGUUUGCUUUUUCAUUACAAUGGUAAAAAUAAGAUUAUAUAUCUCUGAUGACAAAAAUUUUGAUUAUAAUGCUUCAUUUUAUGAGCUCCAGAGUAGUUUUAUAACUGAAAAACAACUGUGCACUAUAUCUAGUGAGCUCUUCUGCAUUGCAUUGUGCAUUGUAGUCCACAUUUUGGUUUCUGAAACGUUAAGAUAUUAUCUUGUAUUCGGUUCUUUCCUCUAGAGUUUUCUAUGCCUAUAACUUAACAUGAACUGGAUGCAAGAUUAUAUCAAUCACUGAGGAUAUGUGUAUUACCUUAUGCCAAUUUGAUAUGUCGCUGUUGAAACAUGUUGUGUCGUUAUCUGUGUCGUUGUCACCGGAAGUAGAGCUUACAAUGUCACAUAAAUUUUUGCUUGAUCUGUAAUUAAUAGAUGUGCAUUCUGCCGUUAAUAGACAUUCCUGUCCAAAUUCAAGAAGUGUCUUUUCCUGGAAUCUCAAAAGAACCCCUGUUUUAGAGCAUUUACCCCACUUUUGCAGUCCUACGCCGGAAAUGCUUGGUGUUUUACAUGUAUUAUCAUUCGUCGAGCAUACGUUAUUCAUACUCAAGCCUGUAAUAUUUCCAAAAAUCAUAAACACAGUCAUUGUAACAAAACCGUUUCUCCCCUCCAUUUUGAGCUUACAAACCGCACCAAUAUUGCUUCUCAAUGUUUGGAGUACAAAUAAUAAUUAAAUUUAAUAGGUCUGGUAGUAAAGCAAAUACAUCAAACUGUUGUUUUACGUUUGCCAUGCAUUCUGGUGUUAAAUUUUUUUUCUAAUAGUAUUAAAUCCCUGAAGAUUUAACAAAUAAUUAAAUCAUGAAUAAGUUACAAAUUUCACAACCGUAGAAGCACAUAAAAGAUAUCAAAAUGAAAGAGAAAAAAGUAUUCAAUUUACUAUUGAUUAUUAUACUUUAAUUGCCCCGAGAAUCGUUAAUUUUUUUUAAAACAUGGUCAUAGGAUUGUUCAAAUUCGUUUUAAUUAUUUGUAAAUACCUAUAACCACUGUUUGUUACUUUAGCGGUCGCUUAUAUCUAUAUAUGACAGUAAACAUUUUUGUUUAUAGGACAAACGUCAUUCAUAUCCAAUCAUUUAUCAAUAUUUCUAAACAAAAACAUAUAUUGUAACAAAAGUGUAAGUCGUGCAUAAACGACGUAUCAAAAUAAAUCCCCCGAAUAUUUUGCGCUAAUAAGUUACACUGUCACAACCAUAUAAGUAGAUAAAAGAUAAACAAUUGAAAACAAAAUGCACUAUUAAUAAGAUAAAAGAUAUUAUAUUGAUUUCAUUUUAAUUACAUCAGGUAUCCUCUCCUUUGCAAUCAUAAAUCGAUUAAGAAAAAAAAAAAACACAAAUCCGGGUUACUAACUUUAACCGAGGGAAACACAUCAACUAUAAAAUGGAAAACAACGAAGCAACAGAAACACCAAAGUACAACAAAAAAAUAUAAGAAAAAACAACACUGUAACACUCACAGAAACGAACAAUUAGAUAACAACUGCAAUUUCCCUGACUUGGUCCAGGACAUUUUAAGAACAAGAAGUGGGUUGAACCUGUUUUUUUUGGCUAGCCAAACCAUGCGCUAGUAUAUAUAUGGUGAUGUAAAAAGAAUCGAUGCUUUGGUAUAUUUAAAAAGAGAGCUCUCCUAUACUCACAAUCAUGAUUGUGUUGUUUGUUCAAAAAGUAAAAUCCUUAAAAUACUGAACUCCGAGGACGUAGAGCUUACAAUAGUCACAUAUAUUUGUGCUUGAUCUGUAAUUAAUAGAUGUGCAUUCUACCGUCAAAAAAACGUUCCUGUCUACAUUCAAGAACUGUCUUUUCCUGUAAGCUAAAAAGAACCCCUGUUUUAGAGCAUUUACCCCACCUUUGCAUUCUGGUGCAAAAAUGCUUGGCGUUUUAAAUGUAUUAUCAUUUGUCGAACAAACGUUAUAUAUAUUCAAGUCUUUAAUAUUUCCGAAUAGCAUAAAUACAAACAUUGUAACAAAGGCGUUUCUAACCUCCAUUGGGGACUUAAACAACGCAACCAACAACGUAACAAGGUAGACUAUCACAAUCAUAUGAGUAUAUAAAAGAUAAACAAAUUGAAAACAAAAUUCAUUAUUAACAAGAUAAACAGAUAUUAUAUCAAUCACAUUUUAAGUCCCGCAGGUAUCCUCUUCUUUCAAAUAUGAUUGUUCAAUUUCAGUUCAAUUAUUUUCAAAUCUCUACAGUCGAUCCUUUGUCGUCAUGGUUUUUACAUAAUUCUGUUUGACAUAGUGUCCCAAUUCAAGGCUUGUUUGAAGUUUAAAUAGAUAAAGGCAUCAGUAGUAGCCUGCUGUUCUUAAGGCAUAAAGCGAUUGAGAAACUAAUGCUUCAAUUUUUCGAUUAUUUUUUUUAGAAAAAUAAUAUCCACGAAUGUAAGAACUCACGUUCAUGUUACUAUUGCUAAAAAAACGAAAAUGGAUACCCACGAAUUAAAGUACUUUCACAAUGGCUUAACCUCCUAUUUGUAUGACAGUAGCAUAAAAUUCCAUUAUAAUGACAACUAUUGUGAACAAAACAAACAAACAGAACAGGUAAAAAUGUCAAAAAUAGGAGUACAGCAGUCAACAUUGUUUUAUAUUCUUCAUCACUAUAAAAGAAACAGUUACCAUGUAACAACAAUAUAAUAUGGUCAUAAUUAAUUAUAAAGUAAUUAUUUACAAAAACUCUGAAUAUUUUCGAAAUGUGAAGGAUUUGUAUCACAGGAAUACCAGUAGAUUAAUUUAGCUUUAUUUUGCAUACACUUUUGGAGCGUCACUAGUGAAUCGUUUAGACGAAACGUGCAUCUGAAGAACACAAUUCUAAUCCUUUUAUCUAUGAUGAGUUUAUUCGUAAAAACUUAACAUAUGAAGUUCAGUGAAAAUGUAUGUGAUAUCAAUCUACCAAUUCUUGGGUGACUUUUAUAAUCCAGGUUAUUUCUUUUGUCGAUCAUCGUCAAACAUAGUCAGCCUAUUCCAUAAGCAAAUUAUAUAUACCGUUGCAUAAACUUUUGUAUUCAACCUCUGUCCCCACACAAUGCUAGAGUGGGGGUGAAUCGGUGUAUGCCUAUGUAAUACUGACUUGAUCUAUUACCGAGUGUCUGAUGCUUUCAUUUUCAUACAUCCCAGAUGCAUAGGAGUAACAAAUAAAUCUAAUAAAAAGUUGUUCACAAGAUUUAAAGGAAAGUUCCUUGAAACUGUAGAUUUCGGGAUAAUUUUACCCACAGCUCUUCCUGUACCGUGAAACUUUCUGCAUACAAACUGCAGUCAUCUCCACGACAAUGUUAUACAUUAUCACGAUAACCCGUUCUUAUUCAGGUUGCAUGAAGAUUGGUUAAUGAAAUUGAUUUGGAAAAGAACAUGAUUUGAUUGUUGAGAUUUUUAAGGUGCCAUUUCAGAUGAUCAACUUUUAAGAUUUAUUUCAGAGAAGCUGAACAAAUACAGAUGUACUGAUGUACUGAUGUUGGAUAUUCAAGACACUUAAGCUAUCUAUCAUAAAGAGAUAUAACCUGCUCUCAGUAAAAAGAAUGUGUUUAUGUUUAAAAUCAUUGACAUUGGAAAAGUCACUCAUUAAAAUAAGUUGAUAAUAUUGAAUACAUUUGUUAAAAAAAC
RNAcentral lists this long non-coding RNA (9641 nucleotides) under Mytilus galloprovincialis (Mediterranean mussel). Lineage: Eukaryota; Metazoa; Mollusca; Bivalvia; Mytilida; Mytilidae. The record is from RNAcentral.